GCACCUGAAAGCUUCGUCAGAUUCACUCGCCGUCAAUUCUUUCAUUUGGUUCUGAACUUGUAAGUCGUCGUCGUCCUAGAUUAUCUAGCCACACCAGCUAUAUACAAUGGCCAAAUCCAAGAAUCACACAAAUCACAACCAGAACCGUAAACAUCAUCGUAAUGGCAUCAAGAAAUCCCAGGCUCACAAGUGCCCAUCCAACAAAGGAGUCGAUCGCAAGUUUUUGAGGAACAUGAAGAAAUCGCGCGCACGCAAUCUGAGCACUGCUAAGCAGUUGAUUGUCGCCAAGUACCGCAAGGACCAGGCCGAAAAGUAGUUUCUCAAAUUCGCGAGGAUUAAGUUUUGUGUAAAACAAAAUGUUCUAAAUACAAAUCUUGAUUCUA
This is a long non-coding RNA of Daphnia pulex (common water flea), 383 nucleotides long. RefSeq lists it as uncharacterized. The record is from RefSeq and is a predicted model, not a curated record. The transcript has 4 exons. Lineage: Eukaryota; Metazoa; Arthropoda; Branchiopoda; Diplostraca; Daphniidae.